UUGGGGAAUAUCAGAUGAAGUAGCUGGAAAUCUCAAACAAUGAACUUCUGCCUCCUAUGUAAAAGACUACAUGUGCCCUUUUAAGAGGCAGAGUUACCAGGACCAGAGCAAACCUGGCACAUACAGGUCUGGGAAUUGCAGUCUGAGAAGUCAGGGACAUAAUCCAUUCCUGACCCUCGUCUGGGUCAACAAACCACUGUUCUGCUUGGAUUGCCUCAGGAAUUAGAUCUUCUGUGAGAACCUGGAGUGCAGGAGCAGGCCAUUAUAUUUUUCCUUCCAAACUAGAGCCCUGUCUUACCCAGCAGCUUUUUAUUUGGUCGGGAAGAAGGAUGCCUGUGAUCCGAUGUCUCUGAUCCAGUGCCUGCUCUGUGUUAAUGCAUUUUGUGUUGAGAUUCACUGAGAUGGAGGCAGAGAGCAAAAGGAGCUCUCUUAG
This is a long non-coding RNA of Pipra filicauda (Wire-tailed manakin), 433 nucleotides long. RefSeq lists it as uncharacterized. The transcript is spliced from 3 exons. Lineage: Eukaryota; Metazoa; Chordata; Aves; Passeriformes; Pipridae. The record is from RefSeq and is a predicted model, not a curated record.